AUACUUACCUGGCAGGGGAGACACCAUGAUCACGAAGAGGGUUUUCCCAGGGUGAGGUCAUCCGUUACAUUCCGGAUGUGCUGACCCCUGCGAUUUCCCAAAUGUGGGAAACUCAACCGCAUCAUUUGUGGUAGUGAGGGACUAUGUUCGCACUUUCCCCGG
Saimiri boliviensis boliviensis (Bolivian squirrel monkey) is the source of this 162-nucleotide small nuclear RNA. Its record names the gene U1. It matches the Rfam family "U1 spliceosomal RNA". Rfam says of the family: U1 is a small nuclear RNA (snRNA) component of the spliceosome (involved in pre-mRNA splicing). Its 5' end forms complementary base pairs with the 5' splice junction, thus defining the 5' donor site of an intron. There are significant differences in sequence and secondary structure between metazoan and yeast U1 snRNAs, the latter being much longer (568 nucleotides as compared to 164 nucleotides in human). The record is from Ensembl. NCBI's taxonomy places the organism in Eukaryota, Metazoa, Chordata, Mammalia, Primates, Cebidae.